CUUCGGAGGUCAGAGCUCGGCGGGGUGCGGCUAGUGGCGGAGCGCGCUGCGAGGGGAGGGCUUUCCACUGUCGCUGGCGUGAACUCGCGUGCCCGGUGGGUAUCAGGGAAGAACCCCCGCCCCGGACCCCCAGAUCUGCCAUGGCCGAGGUAGCGAUCGUCUCUGCGGCCACGAAGACUGUUUUAACUUGUACCACUUUCCCUUCCAUUUUUCCUGGGGUGCCUCUCACCCUGCAUCUGCGCGUUCAGCAAGCUGGAUUUCGGGAAUGCUCAGUUCAGAAGAGAAAAAAUUGCCGGGAAUCAAGUCCUUCUUUUUGUUAGUCGGUAGUCGAUUGAUGGGAAGUGUUCAAAAUCAUUCGAUGUGGUGACAAGGCUUCACCAGGUACUGCCUUCUAACGAGCUGGCCAUUUCCACAUGUCAGAUAGGACCAACUUGCCUUUUAACUACCCGUGUGAUACUUAAACACUGUUGCCGGUAUCACAGCUUUUCUUCAAAACAGGUAAUAUUAGGGACACUUGAAAUUUGGGAAUUAGAUUUACCUUUGCUGUUACUAAAUAAUUGUUAGAAUUUUAAAUGUCAUAUUCAUUUUACUCAACUAAUCUCUUUAGCUUUCCUAUUUAUAUUCCUACUUAUGAUUACGUGUAAUUCUCAUUGGAAGGAUUAAAAUAUUUUGAAAGUAAGACAGUAAAAUUGUGAAAUACUUUGGUAUUGGUUACAAAACAGUACUUAGGUACCUUCUUCCUGAUUUUUCUGUAUUUUUAAAAAAUAAGGCCAGGCACAGUGGCAAAUGCUUAUAUUCCCAACUGCCCAGUAAGCUGAAGCAAGAGAAUUGCUUGAGCCCAACCUGGGCAACAUAGUGAAACCCCAGUCACCAAUUAAAAACAAACAAACAAAAAGAGUAUAUUUUUUGAAGAUAUUUUAUCACAUAUACAGAAGCAAACAAAGAGGGGAAGGAAUUGUUUAAAAUAAUGUUAAGCUAAAUAAAGUCAAAGAAAAUUUAAGUAAUAGUUAAUAGUUAUUGUUAUAGAAGACAUCAAUUUACUACCCCGUUCUCAAAAAGGAAAAUCUGCAAGUAGACUGUAGUGCUAGAGUAAGCUUUUCCUUAAUUUCAGAAAGCCUGUAUUAAGCAUUUACUUUAUGCCAAACUCCAUUUUAGGGACUGGAAAUAUAAAAUAAAUAAAACACAGUCCCUGCUCUCAGUGAACUUGUUGUCUAGGGAAUGUUAAGUAGAACCACCUGAAAUUGCAUUGUUUUUGUAAGCCAGCUAUCGGUUCCACCUGACAUUAUAUGUGGAAACAGAAAUUUGCAAUAAUAAAGAUAUGACCACGGUGCUACGGGGCACUGACAAAAUGCUUCAUGCUGCCCAGGGCAGUCAGUGAAGGCUCCCCAGGGGAGAUGACGUUUGAGCCGAGUUUCAGAAGAUGAUUGGAGUUUACCACGUGUUCACAGGAAGCAACGAGAAUGAGGGCAUUCCAGUAGCAGGAGACAGCAUGCAUAGAGAUGCUGAUGAAGAAAGAGCCUAGCGCACGUGGGAAACUGCAAAAGUUCAGACUGGUUGGAAUGCUGGAAAUGUUGUGAAUGACAGGAGAUGAGGCUGGCGAGAAAACAGAGGUCAGAUUGUGGAAGGCUGUCAAGCCAAAGACUUUGAUUUUAUUCUUGAGAUUGAUGAGAUGUGUGUAAUCCAGGAGUGUGCAAAACAAUCUGUAAGGGUUCAGAAAACAUACUGCUUCUAUAUAUAGUUACCUUUGUCUUAACUUGAAAAUUUCAAAUUGUGUAGGAGUUACAAUGUGUGUAAUUGUUAUUAUAGUACUGGAUCCAAAUAAUUUAUAAAUAAAUAAAUAUAGACAUAAUA
This 1851-nucleotide long non-coding RNA is filed under the name Homo sapiens (human). RNAcentral describes it as "HSALNT0341684". Lineage: Eukaryota; Metazoa; Chordata; Mammalia; Primates; Hominidae. The record is from RNAcentral.